Long non-coding RNA from Populus euphratica (Euphrates poplar), 3502 nucleotides. RefSeq lists it as uncharacterized. The transcript is spliced from 2 exons. NCBI's taxonomy places the organism in Eukaryota, Viridiplantae, Streptophyta, Magnoliopsida, Malpighiales, Salicaceae. The record is from RefSeq and is a predicted model, not a curated record.
AAAGUGCUCGGGAAGGCUAUAACCACACAAAACAAGGCCCAUUGGGCCAGCAGAAUUUCUAGCGCAGGCCGAGGCUGCAGGUUGGUAUAGGAAUCGAGACGCUCUGCAACUAUCACGAGAUUCAACCACGUGGACCAACUGCGGCCUGAUCAAAUUUUCCCUCGCUAAUUUUUCACACACCCAAAUAUUCCUGGACCCACCGCACCAAAAAAAAUAAAAAAUCCCGCGGGAUGCAGAUUCGUUCGCAGGAGAAAGAAGUGAAAAGAAAAAUCAGAAUCGCAAAGCAAACUUUCCUUGUUCCUUCAACCAACCACUCAACGAUUCGGUUACAGGAUCUUGUUACGCCGAGAAUUUGUGAGCGCUUUUCUCUCUUAAUCCACACUCUCGCAACUUGUUCGACCAUGUUACUGAGUCAAUAAUAAUCAAAAUUCAUUUCCCUCUUUUGUUAGAGUGAGUGAGUGAUCGAAGACUCAAAGCUAGUAGCUUCCAAUCAUGGAUUCUCUCACCCCGGUUUCUCCAUCUAUUGUUCUCCCUCUCCCUCUACGACGUCGUCGAGUCUUAACUCCAUCAUCUUUCUCCGCUCAUAACCACCGUCCUCUUCCUCCUCGGCUUUCUUCUCUCUCUGGAAUUUUCCACAAGGAGACGAUUUUCUUGUAAAUUAGCGAGCGGUAGUGGAGAUGGAGAUAAAAAAGAAGAGGAUCACAACAACGAUGAUGGAAGUGAGGAAGUGGAGAGAGCGUUUCAUUUAGACGGCACAGUUCCAGGGACUUCAAAUGAGAUUGUGAAGAAGGUGUCGUCUCGUGCUUAUGAUAUGCGUAGACAUCUUCAACAGAGUUUUGAUAGUAGCAGCUAUGAUGGUAGUUACCUUCCUGAUUAGUUCUGCCGUGUAGUUCUUCCUUAUAUAUUCUGCCAACAAAGUUGAUUCUAGCUAGCUUGCUAACUUAUAACUGGUUUCUCUGAGACUUCUCUCCGUCCCUUUUGCUUUCAGUUCUUUUCCGGCGCAUGUUAAUUGGUUAAUUGCUACUGCAUGCGUGUUUUCUUGAUUAGUGUGUUUUAAGUGUUUUAGACUCGAGAAUUAAGCAUUACAUCACAGUUUUUUGGAUUCUGAAGCUCAUUUUCGUUGCUCUAGUUUUUUUGAAUGAUGUCUCAUUUUGCAUUUCUAAUGAAAAAAGAAAACAGAGGUUUAGUUAUUGAACAACAACCAAGCCUCAACAGAGAACUAGUUUUCUUUUGUUCUUGUGAAGUAAAGAAUUUAGGAAUGUUGACAAAUUUGUAGGCAUUCUAUAACUUCUUGCUUCAUUGAGAUCGAGUGAAGUGAUGUAUUUUCUGCAUACCGAACUUGGUUUUUGAGGGAGGUGCUUUGGCCUCUACUUCUUCUGUUUUUGUGGGAGAGGUGCUUCCGCUCUGCUGCUGAAUGACUUAACUCAAUCUUCAGUAGCUGCCUGCCUGUAUAUGAAAGAGUUGCAAUUGGAAAUGUGGCACUGAUCAGCGAGCAGUCUACCUUGGCCUCAAGUCAUGGACUUCACGAGUUCAUUAUAUUUUAGCAGCCUUUUGCAGCUAUCCUUUCUCUAUCACAUUACAAAAAUUAAGAAAAAUAGAAAAAAAUAAAAAUCUUCUUCCUUUAAUUGGUGAUAUCAGCUUAAUUGAUGAUGCUACCUGAUGAUCUCCAAGCUAAACUGGGGUGUUAGCUCGUAUUAAUCAACGUACUUGAUAAUUCUUCUUCGUGUUGUUGUUCUUUUGAGAUGGUAUUUCUUUCACAUACUUUAAUUAAUAGAAUAAGACAGGUGGUUCUGUUUCCUGGACAUUGACCAUGAAAUUGAUGUAUAGAAUUUCCAAUUUAAGAAACCAUCCUAAAUGUGUGCUGGUGUUGGACUGGAUACACUCUUUUAGCAUUAAAAUUACAUCUAAGAUAAAUAGUGUGUUUGUUUGGUGCACAAAAUCAAGCAAUCACUUUGCGUACGUGUUGUGUUGUGCAACUCUGAAAUUGGCAUUCCCUAAAGCAUGCGAGAGCAAUUGUCAAUUUUGUCUUUCUUUCAUUUUAACCAUACCUCUGACUUGAGUCUUAGUCUUCAUUUCUAGCACAUAGUUCUCAGUGUCUGUAAUCACUGCUCUCAUCAGUUUGCUUGAAUUUGAGUAUUUCAUGUAUUCAAUUAUAUUUGAUUCUCAUUGAUGUCUGAGGGUUGUUUACAGAUACUUGAUUGCUUUUAUCUGAUGAGUGAGUGUUUUUGGAAGCACAACUCCCUUAAUGAGAGUGGGACCGAAGGCCAGUUGGUAAAUGGAUACAUUAGUACAUUCUUACGUAUUGCUUGGAGUAAAUCUGCAGUUGUAUUGAUUUAUGAAGUCCUUUAUUUGCUUUUUUCACAAAGCUUCACCAAAUUUCUCUCUUAUCGUUCUUAUUCAGUUCUGGAUGCCAAUCCAUGGAGAGAAACCUCAAAGCUAGUGUAUGUACUCACUUUUAAGAGAAAACCAGUUGUGCAUGAGGAAAACUCGAAGAAAUCACAGGCUUAAGUUGUUUUAGUACCUUUUGUAUUCUCCUGAGUAAAGGUUAGAAUUGUCCGAGCCCAAACUCGGGUUUUGCUUUUGAAUUAGUGAAGUUGAGAAGGUGCUUGGGCUACUUUUUUCCAAAGGAGGAAAGUGGACUUCGGAAAUAGGAAGUCAGGCUAAACAGUCGAGGAGAGGGACAAAGUUCCAGAUGCUUGUGGAGGAUGUUAGGGAGGGAGUGCUUGUAAAUGUCCGAUUAUUUUACUUGUUGAAUUUUCUGCAAUGCUAACCAAAUGCUUUAGCAAGAUUAGCGUAAGAUUGGUCGUGCCUGAAUGCAUUUAAGCCAACUGCUAGUAUCACUGAACUUCUUAGGUGGCCCUUUUUGUUUCUAUCACGGGGUAUGUCAUUUCAAAUUAUUCCUUACAUGUUCGUUGUUCAAACUUUAAGAGUGUGCCAGCACAAGUUAUGGUAACAACUAUCAAGUCCUCACUUCUACCCCCCUGAUCAGAUGCUUUGGAAACUAGGAUAACCUUGCAUGCCACUUCCUGUGAAUUGUUGUUUCAGGUCUCCUUAUUUAUUUAAGAUUCCACUGAGUCUCUGGUUGCUUAGCCAAAGAUACAAACUGUUCACUCUUGCUGCAGGUUUUUGAAGAUGAAAAUGAAGCAGCGGAAGAGGUCAAGGUUGUGAAGGUGUUGCUGAAAUCGAAGCCUCAUCAGUAAGAGUCUUGAGCAGACUUUCAAUCCCACCAAAAUCUUGUUUCAGCUUAUAGAUAAGGAAACCUCCUCUGCCUCAAAGCCUUGAGCUUAACUUGAGGGCUCGUAAGCGGUCCCUUGAAGACCAAGAGGACUUGGUGUGAAUCUGAGGUGGUUAGGAAUGGGAUCUUACUCUAGGGAAUCAGAAGAUUGGAAGUAAAUAAUAAAUGUUGUAUUGUACAUCAACGACUGCAAUUUAUGUACAGGAACAUGGUUUACAUGUUGUCAUUUCUUUUUCAAUCUAUAUAGAAAGAAGUUGAAAUUCAAAA